Molecule: ribosomal RNA, 253 nt
Filed under: uncultured bacterium
Lineage: Bacteria
Description: partial 16S ribosomal RNA
Rfam family: Bacterial small subunit ribosomal RNA
Source: RNAcentral
UACGUAGGUGGCAAGCGUUAUCCGGAUUUAUUGGGCGUAAAGGGAACGCAGGCGGUCUUUUAAGUCUGAUGCGAAAGCCUUCGGCUUAACCGGAGUACUGCAUUGGAAACUGGUAGACUUGAGUGCAGGAGAGGAGAGUGGAAUUCCAUGUGUAGCGGUGAAAUGCGUAGAUAUAUGGAGGAACACCGGUGGCGAAAGCGGCUCUCUGGCCUGUAACUGACACUGAGGCUCGAAAGCGUGGGGAGCAAACAGG